RNAcentral lists this ribosomal RNA (457 nucleotides) under uncultured bacterium. RNAcentral's name for it is "partial 16S ribosomal RNA". It matches the Rfam family "Bacterial small subunit ribosomal RNA", at positions 355 to 803 of the family's 1533-position model. The record is from RNAcentral.
UGGGGAAUUUUGGACAAUGGGCGAAAGCCUGAUCCAGCAAUGCCGCGUGUGUGAAGAAGGCCUUCGGGUUGUAAAGCACUUUUGUCCGGAAAGAAAUCCUCUGGGUUAAUACCUCGGGGGGAUGACGGUACCGGAAGAAUAAGCACCGGCUAACUACGUGCCAGCAGCCGCGGUAAUACGUAGGGUGCAAGCGUUAAUCGGAAUUACUGGGCGUAAAGCGUGCGCAGGCGGUUUUGUAAGACGGAUGUGAAAUCCCCGGGCUUAACCUGGGAACUGCAUUCGUGACUGCAAGGCUAGAGUAUGGCAGAGGGGGGUAGAAUUCCACGUGUGAGCAGUGAAAUGCGUAGAGAUGUGGAGGAAUACCGAUGGCGAAGGCAGCCCCCUGGGCCAAUACUGACGCUCAUGCACGAAAGCGUGGGGAGCAAACAGGAUUGAGAUACCCUGGUAGUCCCACCGA